UCCUGAUUAGCUCAGUCGGUGGAGCAUGAGACUCUUAUUCCCAGGGCCGUGUGUUCAAGCUCCACAUUGGGCA
This is a non-coding RNA of Podarcis lilfordi (Lilford's wall lizard), 73 nucleotides long. NCBI's taxonomy places the organism in Eukaryota, Metazoa, Chordata, Lepidosauria, Squamata, Lacertidae. The record is from the annotation of a GenBank genome assembly.